GGCCUGUUGGUCUAGUACUCUAGGGGUAUGAUUCCUGCUUUGGGUGCAGGAGGUCUCGGGUUCAAAUCCCGGACAGGCCC
This 80-nucleotide transfer RNA is filed under the name Portunus trituberculatus (swimming crab). RNAcentral describes it as "tRNA-Pro". It matches the Rfam family "tRNA". From Rfam's summary of the family: Transfer RNA (tRNA) molecules are approximately 80 nucleotides in length. Their secondary structure includes four short double-helical elements and three loops (D, anti-codon, and T loops). The record is from RNAcentral. Lineage: Eukaryota; Metazoa; Arthropoda; Malacostraca; Decapoda; Portunidae.